UGGAAAAAUUAAAUAUGAACUUAUUUUUUUAAACUUAGUAAUAUUUUUGGAUUAUAAUUUUUCAAAACAACUGUUGGGGAAUUUUGCAAAGGAGCACUUUUUAGAGUUUGUCACACAAUGGAAACAUUUCCAAAUUUAUUCCUUAUUAUUCAAUUCAUGAAAUGUAUGCCAAAAUUUUUUUUUUUUACCAUGUUUAUUUUAUGAUCAUGAUAAGGCCAAAAAAAAAAGGUGUGUUUCCGGUCGCCCGACCGACCCUAAUUUUUUGGCGCCGACCCUAACUUUUUUUUCCCGGAAAAAAAAAUUAAAAAAAAAAAUCCGGAUUUCUUUCGUUUUUUUCCGGAAACGGUUUUUGUUUAGUAUAGCCUUUGAAUGGCAUCUUUUAAACGUUUGAUUUCAAAUAAAAUUUUAAUACAGUAAGCAUUUGUGUGAUACAGAUUGAAGUCAAACAACGGCAUGGCUUCUGCUAUGGCCAUCAGUCAAAGUGUGUUAUCAAUAACAAUCGAUGAGUGUCCACACAGGAACGAGAAAAAAGUAUAAUAGCCCCAUUUUCUAAUUCUACCACCUUUAUUGAUAUAUUCAAUCAGUAUCAUGACUUUGGAUUAAAGAACAAUGAAUUUACUGUGACUGGAAAAAACCAUGAAAUAUCUCAGUUCUGAAAAGUUUGAAAAUUUUAUAAGCUGGAAGUCCUGGCCAAGUCUUCUGCAACUUUUGAACAUGGACUAUUCAUAUCUUGUAUACUUUAUACAAUGAACUGAUGAAAAUAACCUGAAAGAAUAACAAACUGAUUAUAAAAAUACACAAAAAACAACCGAAGCAGGCCAGUAAAAAAAAAUAAAAAAAAAAAAAAAUACCUACCUACCGACCCUAAUUUUUUGGGGCAUGCAACAGGAAACACAC
Molecule: long non-coding RNA, 897 nt
Filed under: Mytilus galloprovincialis (Mediterranean mussel)
Lineage: Eukaryota; Metazoa; Mollusca; Bivalvia; Mytilida; Mytilidae
Source: RNAcentral